UACGAAGGGGGCUAGCGUUGCUCGGAAUCACUGGGCGUAAAGGGUGCGUAGGCGGGUCUUUAAGUCAGGGGUGAAAUCCUGGAGCUCAACUCCAGAACUGCCUUUGAUACUGAGGAUCUUGAGUCCGGGAGAGGUGAGUGGAACUGCGAGUGUAGAGGUGAAAUUCGUAGAUAUUCGCAAGAACACCGGUGGCGAAGGCGGCCAACUGGUCCGGAUCUGACGCUGAGGCGCGAAGGCGUGGGGAGCAAACAGG
This 253-nucleotide ribosomal RNA is filed under the name uncultured bacterium. RNAcentral describes it as "partial 16S ribosomal RNA". It matches the Rfam family "Bacterial small subunit ribosomal RNA", at positions 524 to 776 of the family's 1533-position model. The record is from RNAcentral.